This is a long non-coding RNA of Peromyscus eremicus (cactus mouse), 441 nucleotides long. RefSeq lists it as uncharacterized. The transcript has 2 exons. NCBI's taxonomy places the organism in Eukaryota, Metazoa, Chordata, Mammalia, Rodentia, Cricetidae. The record is from RefSeq and is a predicted model, not a curated record.
AAGCCUGUCCUGGGAAGACCAUAUGAUCUGACCACAAAGGGAUAAAGAUGUCUAGAUGCACUUGAAUCAAGCCCAGGCACCAGACAGACUGUGAGCACGUGUGUAGCCCAGGCCUAGCCUGACAACAGUCACAUGAACAACUCUGAGUGGAUCUACCAACUGAGCCAGAAACCAACUGAACUGAGAACCCAGGCACUGAGUCCCUGUACGCAUGUGCAUGAGAGCAUUCUUGUUCAUCUUACGUGAGCCAAAGCUCUUCAUGCCUGUUGAUCUGUUUCAUCCAAAGCCAAGUCGUCUUCAGGACCCACUGACAGGAAGUCUGUCUUUCUAAUGAACUUAACAGUGUCUCCCUGGAGCUUCCAGUCACAGGUCAUCACUGAGUACCUGCUGUGGGUCAUGCACUGUUCCAAGCCCUGGAUACAAUAAAGAACAAGACAAAAA